UACAGAGGUCCCGAGCGUUGUUCGGAUUCACUGGGCGUAAAGGGUGCGUAGGUGGUGAGGUAAGUCGGAUGUGAAAGCCCCGGGCUCAACCUGGGAAUGGCAAUGGAUACUGGCAAGCUAGAGUGCGGUAGAGGGUAGUGGAAUUCCCGGUGUAGCGGUGAAAUGCGUAGAGAUCGGGAGGAACACCAGUGGCGAAGGCGGCUACCUGGACCAGCACUGACACUGAGGCACGAAGCGUGGGGAAGCAAACAGG
This 253-nucleotide ribosomal RNA is filed under the name uncultured bacterium. RNAcentral's name for it is "partial 16S ribosomal RNA". It matches the Rfam family "Bacterial small subunit ribosomal RNA", at positions 524 to 776 of the family's 1533-position model. The record is from RNAcentral.